This 1372-nucleotide ribosomal RNA is filed under the name uncultured bacterium. RNAcentral describes it as "bacterial SSU rRNA". It matches the Rfam family "Bacterial small subunit ribosomal RNA", at positions 28 to 1381 of the family's 1533-position model. The record is from RNAcentral.
GAUGAACGCUGGCGGCGUGCCUAAUACAUGCAAGUCGAGCGAACGGACGAGAAGCUUGCUUCUCUGAUGUUAGCGGCGGACGGGUGAGUAACACGUGGAUAACCUACCUAUAAGACUGGGAUAACUUCGGGAAACCGGAGCUAAUACCGGAUGAUAUUUUGAACCGCAUGGUUCAAAAGUGAAAGACGGUCUUGCUGUCACUUAUAGAUGGAUCCGCGCUGCAUUAGCUAGUUGGUAAGGUAACGGCUUACCAAGGCAACGAUGCAUAGCCGACCUGAGAGGGUGAUCGGCCACACUGGAACUGAGACACGGUCCAGACUCCUACGGGAGGCAGCAGUAGGGAAUCUUCCGCAAUGGGCGAAAGCCUGACGGAGCAACGCCGCGUGAGUGAUGAAGGUCUUCGGAUCGUAAAACUCUGUUAUUAGGGAAGAACAUAUGUGUAAGUAACUGUGCACAUCUUGACGGUACCUAAUCAGAAAGCCACGGCUAACUACGUGCCAGCAGCCGCGGUAAUACGUAGGUGGCAAGCGUUAUCCGGAAUUAUUGGGCGUAAAGCGCGCGUAGGCGGUUUUUUAAGUCUGAUGUGAAAGCCCACGGCUCAACCGUGGAGGGUCAUUGGAAACUGGAAAACUUGAGUGCAGAAGAGGAAAGCGGAAUUCCAUGUGUAGCGGUGAAAUGCGCAGAGAUAUGGAGGAACACCAGUGGCGAAGGCGACUUUCUGGUCUGUAACUGACGCUGAUGUGCGAAAGCGUGGGGAUCAAACAGGAUUAGAUACCCUGGUAGUCCACGCCGUAAACGAUGAGUGCUAAGUGUUAGGGGGUUUCCGCCCCUUAGUGCUGCAGCUAACGCAUUAAGCACUCCGCCUGGGGAGUACGACCGCAAGGUUGAAACUCAAAGGAAUUGACGGGGACCCGCACAAGCGGUGGAGCAUGUGGUUUAAUUCGAAGCAACGCGAAGAACCUUACCAAAUCUUGACAUCCUUUGACAACUCUAGAGAUAGAGCCUUCCCCUUCGGGGGACAAAGUGACAGGUGGUGCAUGGUUGUCGUCAGCUCGUGUCGUGAGAUGUUGGGUUAAGUCCCGCAACGAGCGCAACCCUUAAGCUUAGUUGCCAUCAUUAAGUUGGGCACUCUAAGUUGACUGCCGGUGACAAACCGGAGGAAGGUGGGGAUGACGUCAAAUCAUCAUGCCCCUUAUGAUUUGGGCUACACACGUGCUACAAUGGACAAUACAAAGGGCAGCGAAACCGCGAGGUCAAGCAAAUCCCAUAAAGUUGUUCUCAGUUCGGAUUGUAGUCUGCAACUCGACUACAUGAAGCUGGAAUCGCUAGUAAUCGUAGAUCAGCAUGCUACGGUGAAUACGUUCCCGGGUCU